AGAGCAAGAAUGGAUACAAAUUCGGAUUUCCUUGGUUCAUGUAGAUUUUCACAAUUUGAAAUUUUAGUUUGAAUUUUUUUCAGGUGAUGUGGAGAUGGGCUAAACAAUAAGAAUUGAUACAUGCUCUAGUGGGAAUGCUGACAGAGCUUUAGAUUGCCUGUGGCAGAAGAAGAAGGCUGAGAUUAAGCUGCAAUAUAUUUUGCUUUCAAGGUCUAUUUUUGUUAGAGAUAUUUGAGUAUUAAAAUCAACAUAAAGUUGAAACAUUUGUUUGCAGAGAGGAUCAGCCGAGAAAGAACUUUUGCAACAAAGUGAAGGAACCACAUUCCAUGAAAAGGAUCCUGCUGAUUUUGAAGUUCCUGCUGAUGUUUUGGAACUCAUUGAUCAAACAUUUCUAUUCAAAAUUGAAGUCAAUAACAACUCAAACUCGAUAUUUGAACCAUCGUACCGAGUUAAGAAAAUCUGCUCUGACUCAGAGGUUAUGUGUCAGUUUCAGGCAUCUCUUCCCUCUAUUGAGGGUUCCGCUCCAUUGUUGAAUAUGGGGACCCCUACUUCAGUGCUGAAGGGUGAAUCUUCAUCUCCGAUUAUAGAGGAGUUUUCCCUGAGGAAUAGCUUGGAUCAACUAGACAUCAUUUUGCUAAUUUAUUAUCAAUUUUGUAUAUCAUUCAUUGCGACACUGUGUAGAACCUCAAAUCCUUUUCAUAAUGGAGUUGUUCUUAUUUGAUGGUUU
Lotus japonicus is the source of this 727-nucleotide long non-coding RNA. RefSeq lists it as uncharacterized. The transcript is spliced from 3 exons. NCBI's taxonomy places the organism in Eukaryota, Viridiplantae, Streptophyta, Magnoliopsida, Fabales, Fabaceae. The record is from RefSeq and is a predicted model, not a curated record.